AUACGGAGGGGGCGAGCGUUAUUCGGAAUCAUUGGGCGUAAAGGGCGCGUAGGCGGCCUGACAAGUCAGGGGUGAAAUCCCUCGGCUCAACCGAGGAACUGCCUCUGAAACUGUCAGGCUUGAGGCCGGGAGAGGGUAGUGGAAUUCCCAGUGUAGCGGUGAAAUGCGUAGAUAUUGGGAGGAACACCAGUGGCGAAGGCGGCUACCUGGACCGGUUCUGACGCUGAGGCGCGAAAGCGUGGGGAGCAAACGGGAUUAGAAACCCUAGUAGUCC
RNAcentral lists this ribosomal RNA (274 nucleotides) under uncultured bacterium. RNAcentral describes it as "partial 16S ribosomal RNA". It matches the Rfam family "Bacterial small subunit ribosomal RNA", at positions 523 to 796 of the family's 1533-position model. The record is from RNAcentral.